CUCUUUAUCAGACGGCUUUCCCGAAGGAGCAUAGGGUCCAUAAUCAACUGCGACCGGCUGGACAAGGCAACGUCUCUUUAUCAGACGGCUUUCCCGAAGGAGCAUAGGGUCCAUAAUCAACUGCGACCGGCUUCCCGUUGUCCAGGGGUAUCCCAAAUAAGGAUAACGUCCAGCUCAACAGCCCGGGACGAUUUCUCAUAACCAUCACACGAUCACUCAAAU
This 222-nucleotide long non-coding RNA is filed under the name Eucalyptus grandis. RNAcentral's name for it is "long non-coding RNA (EGRA_LNC007821)". Lineage: Eukaryota; Viridiplantae; Streptophyta; Magnoliopsida; Myrtales; Myrtaceae. The record is from RNAcentral.